Cheilinus undulatus (humphead wrasse) is the source of this 630-nucleotide long non-coding RNA. RefSeq lists it as uncharacterized. The transcript has 3 exons. The record is from RefSeq and is a predicted model, not a curated record. Lineage: Eukaryota; Metazoa; Chordata; Actinopteri; Labriformes; Labridae.
GCCCUACCUGUUAAAGUUCCUCAGUGCUGUGUGCCAACAUGUUUCAAUCGAUCGGAGACAAACAACCACUCAGCUGUCAUUCUACCGCUUUCCUUGCAACGAAAAAUACAAGAGGAAAUGGCUGCAGUUAAUAAGCUACAGGUGUCCUGCAACAUACCUGCAGUAAGGGACUGGACUGGUGCAGGGAACAGGUGAACAGGAUCUCAAGGUUUCUGUCAUCAGGAUGUUAACAGAGGAGGACAAGCUGUGGCAGCAGUCUUACCUAUCCUACCAGAGUUUAAGUCACAAGCCGCAUCCCCGCUUAUAGAUCGGUCUCAGAUCCUACGGAUUCGCUCGAACCCGAAGUAGUUUCCGAUCCACCAUCUUGCCGGCCGUGCCAAAGCCACUACAGGGGUUUAAGACUCAAGCCAUAAGACCGAGGACUGAGAUUUGAAGACCGAUGAGCAACGACACAUGAGAGCAGGCUUCCUGGAACUCUUUUUACUCAGAGGCACGCCCCCUUAUUGGAUAUCACUCUCUGAUUGGACGCUGCUACACAGUGGAUGUCAGUGAAACUUCACAGCACCAGCAGAGGUAAAUAAUGGAGGAGAAACUGAGUUUAUAACAGACGGUAAACGGACUCAACGGACU